UCGGGAAUUUUGGGCAAUGGGCGAAAGCCUGACCCAGCAACGCCGCGUGAAGGAUGAAGUAUUUCGGUAUGUAAACUUCGAAAGAAUAGGAAGAAUAAAUGACGGUACUAUUUAUAAGGUCCGGCUAACUACGUGCCAGCAGCCGCGGUAAUACGUAGGGACCAAGCGUUGUUCGGAUUUACUGGGCGUAAAGGGCGCGUAGGCGGCAAUUCAAGUCAUCUGUUAAAUCUCCGGGCUUAACUCGGAACGGUCAGAUGAUACUGCUUUGCUAGAGUGCAGAGGGGGGCAAUCGGAAUUCUUGGUGUAGCGGUGAAAUGCGUAGAUAUCAAGAGGAACACCUGAGGUGAAGACGGGUUAGCUGGGCUGACACUGACGCUGAGGCGCGAAAGCCAGGGGAGCAAACGGGAUUAGAUACCCCCGUAGUCCCUGAGCGGGCUGGCAAGGCGCAU
Molecule: ribosomal RNA, 449 nt
Filed under: uncultured bacterium
Lineage: Bacteria
Description: bacterial SSU rRNA
Rfam family: Bacterial small subunit ribosomal RNA
Source: RNAcentral